UACGUAGGGCGCAGGCGUUAAUCGGAAUUACUGGGCGUAAAGCGUGCGCAGGCGGUUUCUUAAGUCCGAUGUGAAAGCCCCGGGCUUAACCUGGGAACUGCGUUUGAAACUGGGAGACUUGAGUGUGGCAGAGGGGGGUGGAAUUCCACGUGUAGCAGUGAAAUGCGCAGAUAUCAGGAGGAACACCGGUGGCGAAGGCGGGUCUCUGGGCCGAUACUGACGCUGAGGAGCGAAGGCGUGGGGAGCGAACAGG
RNAcentral lists this ribosomal RNA (253 nucleotides) under uncultured bacterium. RNAcentral's name for it is "partial 16S ribosomal RNA". It matches the Rfam family "Bacterial small subunit ribosomal RNA", at positions 524 to 776 of the family's 1533-position model. The record is from RNAcentral.